GAUGAACGCUGGCGGCGUGCUUAACACAUGCAAGUCGAACGAAGCAUUUGCGACAGAUUUUUUCGGAAUGAAGUUGCUUAUGACUGAGUGGCGGACGGGUGAGUAACGCGUGGGUAACCUGCCUUGUACUGGGGGAUAGCAGCUGGAAACGGCUGGUAAUACCGCAUAAGCGCACAAUGUUGCAUGACAUGGUGUGAAAAACUCCGGUGGUAUAAGAUGGACCCGCGUCUGAUUAGCUAGUUGGUGAGAUAACAGCCCACCAAGGUGACGAUCAGUAGCCGACCUGAGAGGGUGACCGGCCACAUUGGGACUGAGACACGGCCCAGACUCCUACGGGAGGCAGCAGCGGGGAAUAUUGCACAAUGGAGGAAACUCUGAUGCAGCGACGCCGCGUGAGUGAAGAAGUAAUUCGUUAUGUAAAGCUCUAUCAGCAGGGAAGAUAGUGACGGUACCUGACUAAGAAGCUCCGGCUAAAUACGUG
Molecule: ribosomal RNA, 481 nt
Filed under: uncultured bacterium
Lineage: Bacteria
Description: partial 16S ribosomal RNA
Rfam family: Bacterial small subunit ribosomal RNA
Source: RNAcentral